GCUGGUUUAUUCAAGAGAGAGCAGCACAUCAGGCAGCCCUGCUUCUGACUAUUUCAGUUUCUCCUUGUCACUGGCACUUUGGAUGCUGCAGUAUGAAUGCUGCUCACACUUUUUGGAGCCUACAGAUUCCCAGAGUAGUUUCCUGCCUCCCCCCUGGUAUUGGGCUCAUCAGCUGGGACGUUGUUGCUACCUCACUUCCCUGUCUCCUCAGCAGGCACUGAAGAGAGAGAGACAGAGCAUGCAAGACUGGAGAAAUAUGAGGUCCCAGCAUACUGGAGAGACUGGCACUGAUCUA
Alligator mississippiensis (American alligator) is the source of this 295-nucleotide long non-coding RNA. RefSeq lists it as uncharacterized. The record is from RefSeq and is a predicted model, not a curated record. The transcript has 3 exons. NCBI's taxonomy places the organism in Eukaryota, Metazoa, Chordata, Crocodylia, Alligatoridae.